GAUAUAAAAACUUGGUGGCUGUGACAGACUUGCAUUGUAAAAGAGUAAAUAAGGAAAUCAAACAAUGGUAGGGAAAUGGGCAAAGAAUUCCCCGCUACAGCUUAAUUUCUUCGAUCUGUUUCUAGUACGGAUGCAUUUACAAAGGAUAACUAGAAAUAUAGUGCAUUCAUCACCAGCGCUUGAGCAUGUAGCCUACCCACUAGAUUUUGGUACAGCCCAACGAGCUUCUAGAGCUACAGGGCCUUGCAUAAUUAAAAAUGCUAUCCAUAUUAUUCUUUUAGAGAGAUCACUAGACAUAACGGCGUAACCUUUCCAUAUAAAGGUAGACUCGGCUAAGCCCGUAUCUAGUCACCUCGGCCGCUGUUUGAUCAGUGCGCAUCAGCCUGAAAACUAACCAUUGAAAGCAGCCCUCUCUUACCAAAAAAAAAAAGAAAUAGCAGCCCUCCACCGUUACAUUCAAAAAGAAAAAAAACUGAAAAGCCGUUAAUGACAUGGAACAAAGUACAGCACUCGUCCAAAAUGAGAUGGACAUGAUGCAACGUCCACGCCAUGCCCAUCCAACAAAUCUCUCUCUCCCUCUCUUCCUCACCCUAAGCCAAAUAUUUUUCUAUUUAUUUAUGCAAGGUUUGCGUUUAUUUCCGUUUAGAUCAGGGGUUAAUGUUUAUUUAUGCAGAGUUAGUAUUUAUCCUGAUCCGCUUGUGUUUAUUUUGGAGUACGUAGCAUUUACUCUCUCGGAACUUUCUAUUUAUUCCCUGUUGCCGUUUACCACAAGACAAUCUAUCACCUGAUCGAAGAUAGCCAUAUUCCUUUUUCUGUUUAUUUUUCCAUAUAUAUGUUUAUUCUCAUAAAUUAUGUUUAUCAUUUUGGGGUCAGGGUUUGUCCUGGACAUUAGUAUUUAUUUCUAUAAGCAGAGAGAGAGAGAGAGAGAGAGAGAGAGAGAGAGAGAGAGAGAUGGC
RNAcentral lists this long non-coding RNA (956 nucleotides) under Elaeis guineensis (African oil palm). RNAcentral describes it as "long non-coding RNA (EGUI_LNC038219)". The record is from RNAcentral. Lineage: Eukaryota; Viridiplantae; Streptophyta; Magnoliopsida; Arecales; Arecaceae.